GGCAAUCAGGUCUACGUAGGUGACCUGCGGAGGGAUCAUU
This 40-nucleotide ribosomal RNA is filed under the name Schizothyrium emperorae. RNAcentral describes it as "partial 18S ribosomal RNA". Lineage: Eukaryota; Fungi; Ascomycota; Dothideomycetes; Mycosphaerellales; Schizothyriaceae. The record is from RNAcentral.